RNAcentral lists this ribosomal RNA (427 nucleotides) under uncultured bacterium. Its description in RNAcentral is "partial 16S ribosomal RNA". It matches the Rfam family "Bacterial small subunit ribosomal RNA", at positions 355 to 774 of the family's 1533-position model. The record is from RNAcentral.
UGGGGAAUAUUGCACAAUGGGCGCAAGCCUGAUCCAGCAAUGCCGCGUGAGUGAAGAAGGCCUUCGGGUUGUAAAGCUCUUUUGUCAGGGAAGAAACGGCUGUGGCUAAUAUCCACGGCUAAUGACGGUACCUGAAGAAUAAGCACCGGCUAACUACGUGCCAGCAGCCGCGGUAAUACGUAGGGUGCAAGCGUUAAUCGGAAUUACUGGGCGUAAAGCGUGCGCAGGCGGUUUUGUAAGUCUGUCGUGAAAUCCCCGGGCUCAACCUGGGAAUUGCGAUGGAGACUGCAAGGCUAGAAUCUGGCAGAGGGGGGUAGAAUUCCACGUGUAGCAGUGAAAUGCGUAGAGAUGUGGAGGAACACCGAUGGCGAAGGCAGCCCCCUGGGUCAAGAUUGACGCUCAUGCACGAAAGCGUGGGGAGCAAACA